Molecule: ribosomal RNA, 800 nt
Filed under: uncultured Pelagibacteraceae bacterium
Lineage: Bacteria; Pseudomonadati; Pseudomonadota; Alphaproteobacteria; Candidatus Pelagibacterales; Candidatus Pelagibacteraceae
Description: bacterial SSU rRNA
Rfam family: Bacterial small subunit ribosomal RNA
Source: RNAcentral
GCGGCACGCCUUAUACAUGCAAGUCGAACGAAGUAGUAAUACUUAGUGGCAGACGGGUGAGUAACAUGUAGGUAUCUUCCCUUUGGUGAGGAAUAACACGAGGAAACUUGUGCUAAUACCUCAUAAGUCUUUACGGAGAAAGCUUUAUGCGCCAUAGGAUGAGCCUGCAUUUGAUUAGUUUGUUGGUGGGGUAAUGGCCUACCAAGACUUUGAUCAAUAGCUGAUCUGAGAGGAUGAUCAGCCACAUUGGGACUGAGACACGGCCCAAACUCCUACGGGAGGCAGCAGUAGGGAAUAUUGCACAAUGGAGGAAACUCUGAUGCAGCGAUGCCGCGUGAGUGAAGAAGGCCUUUGGGUUGUAAAGCUCUUUCGUCGGGGAAGAAAAUGACUGUACCCGAAUAAGAAGGUCCGGCUAACUUCGUGCCAGCAGCCGCGGUAAUACGAAGGGACCUAGCGUAGUUCGGAAUUACUGGGCUUAAAGAGUUCGUAGGUGGUUAAAAAAGUUGGUGGUGAAAUCCCAGAGCUUAACUCUGGAACUGCCAUCAAAACUUUUUAGCUAGAGUAUGAUAGAGGAAAGCAGAAUUUCUAGUGUAGAGGUGAAAUUCGUAGAUAUUAGAAAGAAUACCAAUUGCGAAGGCAGCUUUCUGGAUCAUUACUGACACUGAGGAACGAAAGCAUGGGUAGCGAAGAGGAUUAGAUACCCUCGUAGUCCAUGCCGUAAACGAUGUGUGUUAGACGUUGGAAAUUUAUUUUCAGUGUCGCAGCGAAAGCAUUAAACACACCGCCUGGGGAGUACGACC